CGUAAUCGAGGGACAGAGGGCGAGGGAAAACGGGGGGGGCAAGCGUUAAACGGAAUGACUGGGCGUAAAGCGCACGCAAGCGGUUGGAUAAGUGAGAUGUGAAAGCCCCGGGCUCAACCUGGGAAUUGCAUUUAAAACUGUCCAGCUAGAGUCUUGUAGAGGGGGGUAGAAUUCCAGGUGUAGCGGUGAAAUGCGUAGAGAUCUGGAGGAAUACCGGUGGCGAAGGCGGCCCCCUGGACAAAGACUGACGCUCAGGUGCGAAAGCGUGGGGAGCAAACAGGAUUAGAUACCCUAGUAGUC
This 300-nucleotide ribosomal RNA is filed under the name uncultured Thermoproteus sp. Its description in RNAcentral is "partial 16S ribosomal RNA". It matches the Rfam family "Bacterial small subunit ribosomal RNA", at positions 496 to 795 of the family's 1533-position model. Lineage: Archaea; Thermoproteati; Thermoproteota; Thermoprotei; Thermoproteales; Thermoproteaceae. The record is from RNAcentral.